AGACCCGUCACUCUGAGAGGACGCAAACCAUCACAAAUAUGACAAGCUAACAGACUAUAUCACAUCAAAGAUCAAGCAUACACAUACUCAGCCUGUACACUACUAAGCUGUACAUAAUAACAUCAGCAAAUGGAUGAAGUGGCACCGUAAAACGUUUAAUCUCACAUUGGACAUGUAUCGUCCUCUUCUUGUUGAGGCAUCAAGUAAUUUCUACAAAGAGGACAAGUUACAUGCCAAUACCUGAGCCACUUCUCUAGACACAGCUUAUGGAAAACAUGACCACAUGAGAGGCUGUUUACCCCUGCAUCAGGCUCAAAUUUUGUCAGGCACACAGAGCAUUCUUGUUCAGGGUGGUUAGAGAUACGUAGCGAGUCAUAACGAAAUGCAGGCGUUCGGCUUCUGAACUCCUCCAUGUAUGAUUCUGGUGGGCUUCCACGGCAUUCAAGUGAGUCCAAGGGUCCUUCAAUAGAAUAGUCUUCCCAUGAUGCGAUACGGAUGCCAAUCACACGAAGGAUCGAACGGAGUAUCUCCUUGAUAAUGGAGAUGGAUAUGGCUGUGUUUACUAGAAUUACACCGAGUACUCCUGCAUCUGCUGGAGUUGGA
RNAcentral lists this unclassified non-coding RNA (603 nucleotides) under Hevea brasiliensis (rubber tree). Lineage: Eukaryota; Viridiplantae; Streptophyta; Magnoliopsida; Malpighiales; Euphorbiaceae. The record is from RNAcentral.